GGGUCCGCAGUUCACCCAGACAUCACCGCUCCUGCAAAGGAGAGCUAAACCUGCAU
The sequence is a regulatory RNA element, 56 nucleotides long. It matches the Rfam family "COG3860 RNA". The record is from Rfam.